RNAcentral lists this ribosomal RNA (692 nucleotides) under uncultured bacterium. Its description in RNAcentral is "bacterial SSU rRNA". It matches the Rfam family "Bacterial small subunit ribosomal RNA", at positions 32 to 715 of the family's 1533-position model. The record is from RNAcentral.
AACGCUAGCUACAGGCUUAACACAUGCAAGUCGAGGGGCAGCAUAAGAGUAGCAAUACUUUGGUGGCGACCGGCGCACGGGUGAGUAACGCGUAUGCAACCUACCUAUCAGAGGGGGAUAACCCGGCGAAAGUCGGACUAAUACCGCAUAAAACAGGGGCACCGCAUGGUGAUAUUUGUUAAAAAUUUAUUGCUGAUAGAUGGGCAUGCGUUCCAUUAGGUAGUUGGAGAGGUAACGGCUCACCAAGCCAACGAUGGAUAGGGGAACUGAGAGGUUGGUCCCCCACACUGGUACUGAGACACGGACCAGACUCCUACGGGAGGCAGCAGUGAGGAAUAUUGGUCAAUGGGCGAGAGCCUGAACCAGCCAAGUCGCGUGAAGGAAGAAGGAUCUAUGGUUCGUAAACUUCUUUUGCAGGGGAAUAAAGUGCAGGACGUGUCCUGUUUUGUAUGUACCCUGAGAAUAAGGAUCGGCUAACUCCGUGCCAGCAGCCGCGGUAAUACGGAGGAUCCGAGCGUUAUCCGGAUUUAUUGGGUUUAAAGGGUGCGUAGGUGGUUUAAUAAGUCAGCGGUGAAAGUUUGCAGCUUAACUGUAAAAAUGCCGUUGAAACUGUUAGACUUGAGUGUAAAUGAGGUAGGCGGAAUGCGUGGUGUAGCGGUGAAAUGCUUAGAUAUCACGAAGAACUCCGAUUG